This 497-nucleotide ribosomal RNA is filed under the name uncultured bacterium. Its description in RNAcentral is "partial 16S ribosomal RNA". It matches the Rfam family "Bacterial small subunit ribosomal RNA", at positions 28 to 507 of the family's 1533-position model. The record is from RNAcentral.
GAUGAACGCUGGCGGCGUGCCUAAUACAUGCCAGUCGAGCGAACAGACGAGGAGCUUGCUCCUCUGACGUUAGCGGCGGAAGGGUGAGUAACACGUGGAUAACCUACCUAUAAGACUGGGAUAACUUCGGGAAACCGGAGCUAAUACCGGAUAACAUGUUGAACCGCAUGGUUCAACAGUGAAAGACGGUCUUGCUGUCACUUAUAGAUGGAUCCGCACCGCAUUAGCUAGUUGGUAAGGUAACGUCUUACCAAGGCAACGAUGCGUAGCCGACCUGAGAGGGUGAUCGGCCACACUGGAACGGAGACACGGUCCAGCCUCCUAAGGGAGGCAGCAGUAGGGAAUCUUCCGCAAUGGGCGAAAGCCUGACGGAGCAACGCCGCGUGAGUGAAGAAGGUCUUCGGAUCGUAAACCUCUGUUACUAGGGAAGAACAAAUGUGUAAGUAACUAUGCAAGUCUUGACGGUACCUAAUCAGAAAGCCACGGCUAACUACGUG